GAUGAACGCUGGCGGCGUGCCUAAUACAUGCAAGUCGAGCGAACAGACGAGGAGCUUGCUCCUCUGACGUUAGCGGCGGACGGGUGAGUAACACGUGGAUAACCUACCUAUAAGACUGGGAUAACUUCGGGAAACCGGAGCUAAUACCGGAUAAUAUAUUGAACCGCAUGGUUCAAUAGUGAAAGACGGUUUUGCUGUCACUUAUAGAUGGAUCCGCGCCGCAUUAGCUAGUUGGUAAGGUAACGGCUUACCAAGGCAACGAUGCGUAGCCGACCUGAGAGGGUGAUCGGCCACACUGGAACUGAGACACGGUCCAGACUCCUACGGGAGGCAGCAGUAGGGAAUCUUCCGCAAUGGGCGAAAGCUUGACGGAGCAACGCCGCGUGAGUGAUGAAGGUCUUCGGAUCGUAAAACCCUGUUAUUAGGGAAGAACAAAUGUGUAAGUAACUAUGCACGUCUUGACGGUACCUAAUCAGAAAGCCACGGCUAACUACGUG
This 497-nucleotide ribosomal RNA is filed under the name uncultured bacterium. Its description in RNAcentral is "partial 16S ribosomal RNA". It matches the Rfam family "Bacterial small subunit ribosomal RNA", at positions 28 to 507 of the family's 1533-position model. The record is from RNAcentral.